UGGGGAAUAUUGGACAAUGGGCGAAAGCCUGAUCCAGCCAUGCCGCGUGUGUGAAGAAGGUCUUCGGAUUGUAAAGCACUUUAAGUUGGGAGGAAGGGCAGUAAGCGAAUACCUUGCUGUUUUGACGUUACCGACAGAAUAAGCACCGGCUAACUCUGUGCCAGCAGCCGCGGUAAUACAGAGGGUGCAAGCGUUAAUCGGAAUUACUGGGCGUAAAGCGCGCGUAGGUGGUUCGUUAAGUUGAAUGUGAAAGCCCCGGGCUCAACCUGGGAACUGCAUCCAAAACUGGCUAGCUGGAGUAGAGCAGAGGAUGGUGGAAUUUCCUGUGUAGCGGUGAAAUGCGUAGAUAUAGGAAGGAACACCAGUUGCGAAGGCGACCACCUGGGCUCAUACUGACACUGAGGUGCGAAAGCGUAGGGAGCAAACAGG
Molecule: ribosomal RNA, 429 nt
Filed under: Pseudomonadota bacterium
Lineage: Bacteria; Pseudomonadati; Pseudomonadota
Description: Proteobacteria bacterium partial 16S ribosomal RNA
Rfam family: Bacterial small subunit ribosomal RNA
Source: RNAcentral